UUAAGCGACUAAGCGUACACGGUGGAUGCCCUGGCAGUCAGAGGCGAUGAAGGACGUGCUAAUCUGCGAUAAGCGUCGGUGAGGUGAUAUGAACCGUUAUAACCGGCGAUUUCCGAAUGGGGAAACCCAGUGUGUUUCGACACACUAUCAUUAACUGAAUCCAUAGGUUAAUGAGGCGAACCGGGGGAACUGAAACAUCUAAGUACCCCGAGGAAAAGAAAUCAACCGAGAUUCCCCCAGUAGCGGCGAGCGAACGGGGAGGAGCCCAGAGCCUGAAUCAGUGUGUGUGUUAGUGGAAGCGUCUGGAAAGGCGCGCGAUACAGGGUGACAGCCCCGUACACAAAAAUGCACAUGCUGUGAGCUCGAUGAGUAGGGCGGGACACGUGGUAUCCUGUCUGAAUAUGGGGGGACCAUCCUCCAAGGCUAAAUACUCCUGACUGACCGAUAGUGAACCAGUACCGUGAGGGAAAGGCGAAAAGAACCCCGGCGAGGGGAGUGAAAAAGAACCUGAAACCGUGUACGUACAAGCAGUGGGAGCCUCUUAAUGGGGUGACUGCGUACCUUUUGUAUAAUGGGUCAGCGACUUAUAUUCUGUAGCAAGGUUAACCGAAUAGGGGAGCCGAAGGGAAACCGAGUCUUAACUGGGCGUUAAGUUGCAGGGUAUAGACCCGAAACCCGGUGAUCUAGCCAUGGGCAGGUUGAAGGUUGGGUAACACUAACUGGAGGACCGAACCGACUAAUGUUGAAAAAUUAGCGGAUGACUUGUGGCUGGGGGUGAAAGGCCAAUCAAACCGGGAGAUAGCUGGUUCUCCCCGAAAGCUAUUUAGGUAGCGCCUCGUGAAUUCAUCUCCGGGGGUAGAGCACUGUUUCGGCAAGGGGGUCAUCCCGACUUACCAACCCGAUGCAAACUGCGAAUACCGGAGAAUGUUAUCACGGGAGACACACGGCGGGUGCUAACGUCCGUCGUGAAGAGGGAAACAACCCAGACCGCCAGCUAAGGUCCCAAAGUCAUGGUUAAGUGGGAAACGAUGUGGGAAGGCCCAGACAGCCAGGAUGUUGGCUUAGAAGCAGCCAUCAUUUAAAGAAAGCGUAAUAGCUCACUGGUCGAGUCGGCCUGCGCGGAAGAUGUAACGGGGCUAAACCAUGCACCGAAGCUGCGGCAGCGACGCUUAUGCGUUGUUGGGUAGGGGAGCGUUCUGUAAGCCUGUGAAGGUGUGCUGUGAGGCAUGCUGGAGGUAUCAGAAGUGCGAAUGCUGACAUAAGUAACGAUAAAGCGGGUGAAAAGCCCGCUCGCCGGAAGACCAAGGGUUCCUGUCCAACGUUAAUCGGGGCAGGGUGAGUCGACCCCUAAGGCGAGGCCGAAAGGCGUAGUCGAUGGGAAACAGGUUAAUAUUCCUGUACUUGGUGUUACUGCGAAGGGGGGACGGAGAAGGCUAUGUUGGCCGGGCGACGGUUGUCCCGGUUUAAGCGUGUAGGCUGAUUUUCCAGGCAAAUCCGGAAAAUCAAGGCUGAGGCGUGAUGACGAGGCACUACGGUGCUGAAGCAACAAAUGCCCUGCUUCCAGGAAAAGCCUCUAAGCAUCAGGUAACAUCAAAUCGUACCCCAAACCGACACAGGUGGUCAGGUAGAGAAUACCAAGGCGCUUGAGAGAACUCGGGUGAAGGAACUAGGCAAAAUGGUGCCGUAACUUCGGGAGAAGGCACGCUGAUAUGUAGGUGAAGUCCCUCGCGGAUGGAGCUGAAAUCAGUCGAAGAUACCAGCUGGCUGCAACUGUUUAUUAAAAACACAGCACUGUGCAAACACGAAAGUGGACGUAUACGGUGUGACGCCUGCCCGGUGCCGGAAGGUUAAUUGAUGGGGUUAGCGGCAACGCGAAGCUCUUGAUCGAAGCCCCGGUAAACGGCGGCCGUAACUAUAACGGUCCUAAGGUAGCGAAAUUCCUUGUCGGGUAAGUUCCGACCUGCACGAAUGGCGUAAUGAUGGCCAGGCUGUCUCCACCCGAGACUCAGUGAAAUUGAACUCGCUGUGAAGAUGCAGUGUACCCGCGGCAAGACGGAAAGACCCCGUGAACCUUUACUAUAGCUUGACACUGAACAUUGAGCCUUGAUGUGUAGGAUAGGUGGGAGGCUUUGAAGUGUGGACGCCAGUCUGCAUGGAGCCGACCUUGAAAUACCACCCUUUAAUGUUUGAUGUUCUAACGUGGGCCCCUAAUCGGGGUUGCGGACAGUGUCUGGUGGGUAGUUUGACUGGGGCGGUCUCCUCCUAAAGAGUAACGGAGGAGCACGAAGGUUGGCUAAUCCUGGUCGGACAUCAGGAGGUUAGUGCAAUGGCAUAAGCCAGCUUGACUGCGAGCGUGACGGCGCGAGCAGGUGCGAAAGCAGGUCAUAGUGAUCCGGUGGUUCUGAAUGGAAGGGCCAUCGCUCAACGGAUAAAAGGUACUCCGGGGAUAACAGGCUGAUACCGCCCAAGAGUUCAUAUCGACGGCGGUGUUUGGCACCUCGAUGUCGGCUCAUCACAUCCUGGGGCUGAAGUAGGUCCCAAGGGUAUGGCUGUUCGCCAUUUAAAGUGGUACGCGAGCUGGGUUUAGAACGUCGUGAGACAGUUCGGUCCCUAUCUGCCGUGGGCGCUGGAGAACUGAGGGGGGCUGCUCCUAGUACGAGAGGACCGGAGUGGACGCAUCACUGGUGUUCGGGUUGUCAUGCCAAUGGCACUGCCCGGUAGCUAAAUGCGGAAGAGAUAAGUGCUGAAAGCAUCUAAGCACGAAACUUGCCCCGAGAUGAGUUCUCCCUGAGACUUAGAGUCUCCUGAAGGAACGUUGAAGACGACGACGUUGAUAGGCCGGGUGUGUAAGCGCAGCGAUGCGUUGAGCUAACCGGUACUAAUGAACCGUGAGGCUUAACCUU
This 2903-nucleotide ribosomal RNA is filed under the name Escherichia coli. Its description in RNAcentral is "bacterial LSU rRNA". It matches the Rfam family "Bacterial large subunit ribosomal RNA". The record is from RNAcentral. Lineage: Bacteria; Pseudomonadati; Pseudomonadota; Gammaproteobacteria; Enterobacterales; Enterobacteriaceae.